GACGAACCGAGCGAACGUUGUUCGGAAUCACUGGGCUUAAAGGGCGCGUAGGCGGGCAUCAAAGUCUGUGGUGAAAUCCGGCAGCUUAACUGUCGAAUUGCCAUGGAUACUGGAUGUCUCGAGGGAGGCAGGGGUGCGCGGAACUGAUGGUGGAGCGGUGAAAUGCGUUGAUAUCAUCAGGAACUCCGGUGGCGAAGGCGGCGCACUGGUCCUUUUCUGACGCUGAGGCGCGAAAGCCAGGGGAGCGAACGGG
This 253-nucleotide ribosomal RNA is filed under the name uncultured bacterium. RNAcentral's name for it is "partial 16S ribosomal RNA". It matches the Rfam family "Bacterial small subunit ribosomal RNA", at positions 524 to 776 of the family's 1533-position model. The record is from RNAcentral.